AUCGCUUCUCGGCCUUUUGGCUAAGAUCAAGUGUAAAAAUAAAAUUAAUGAGAUAUUUGGAUAAAGUCAUUCUUU
Small nuclear RNA from Rattus norvegicus (Norway rat), 75 nucleotides. Ensembl annotates it as U2 spliceosomal RNA. Lineage: Eukaryota; Metazoa; Chordata; Mammalia; Rodentia; Muridae. The record is from Ensembl.